GGGAAAGACACACUUAACAGUCAGAGAUGUGGGAUCAGUGGAAACGCAUCACCCAAACUGCAGUGUGUAUACUUCAGCAUUUACAAAUAGCUAAUCAAGACAGAUUUCAUGAGGGUUUUACUCACAGUUUUCACCCAAAGCCUAAACAAAAUAAAUUCUUGCAAGUCGGCCAUUCUUUGUGAGAGGAGGUGCAUAACUUCAUGACAUUACAUCUCAGAAAUGUGGUUUCUGUAUUUGGAGAAAUGGUCCUAUUGCUAAGUAUAAACUGAAAGUUAGGAUUAUAGUGGAAAAGUAUAAAUCUAUUUGCUGUAGUCAUGAUGUAGUGUCGACACAUAGACACAGAGGGACAGCAAGAAGUGCAGUCCAAAGCAGUAAAGGGAACUGAAGAGCCUGAUCAGCAUUAAAGGAGCACGAGGAGUUUGUCUACACAUCACUCUAGUGGAGCAGCAGAGAUGCACAGGUUGUUUAAGGCACAGGCAACUUGCACAAUCUUAUCAAAGGUUGAGAGGUUCGACGUGCGCUCAGAGGCUGCGGUGAAGGCGCUCUCGACAGGGCCCGUGAGCAUGGCGUACCGCUGCUUUACCAUGGAGAUCACCCUCUCCACAUGCCUCUGCACGCUCAAUGUCUCGGAGGAAGGAUCAGCCAGCAAUGAGCCCUCUGUUCUCCCAUAUGCUUCUCCCUGGUAGCUGCCAGCAAUUUUAAACAAGGCUCCACGUGCUGCCACAGAGUCUCCGAUGUCCAGGUCACGGCUUGCCAGUACGACAUCGCCCGGGAGAAGCUUGCACAAAAAUCCACAACCCUCAGCCAGGCUCUUGUCACUGACGUUUCCCAGCACACCCCUAGAGACAAAAGUGACCACGCCUUGCGGAGCCACGCCAAUCAGAUACUUAAACACGUUAUAACUUGACCCCGCCCCCUGAGAGACCGGGUCCUCGAAAGGCACGGUGAAACAGUCUAUGAUGACGGCGCAGUCAGGAUGAGAGGCUCGCAGCGCGGCUGGCAGGUUUUUACGGAGCUCAGCUCUGGAGGGCCAAAAGACAGCCGUUGGCACCAGAGUAGAGGACAUGAUGUUGACCAUCCGGUGAACUGUUCUGGUUACUGUGCCGACUUUCACGCCAAAGCGACUGAUCAUCAUUAUCAUCAUCAUCAUCAUCAUCAUCGUCGUCGUCAUCAUCAUCAUCAUCAUCUUCUUCAGUGCUGAGGGAGGAGGAGGCACUCUCCUCUGCAGUGGUCUCCUGUUCCUUCACCUCAGGAUGCUCUUCCUGGCCCUGUUCAUCCACCGCAGACAUGCCCUGGCCCUGGAGGAACAGCAAGGCAUUGGCUGCCUCCACCCGUGCUUCCUGUUUGUCCAAGAUCUCUAAAGCACCCGGCUCCUUCAUCUCUGGGCAUAA
Oreochromis aureus is the source of this 1391-nucleotide long non-coding RNA. The record is from Ensembl. NCBI's taxonomy places the organism in Eukaryota, Metazoa, Chordata, Actinopteri, Cichliformes, Cichlidae.